GUGUAGCUCAAUGGUAGAGCACAUGCAUGAGGCUCUGGGUUCAAUACCCAGUAC
This 54-nucleotide transfer RNA is filed under the name Ictidomys tridecemlineatus (thirteen-lined ground squirrel). Its description in RNAcentral is "Spermophilus tridecemlineatus (thirteen-lined ground squirrel) tRNA". It matches the Rfam family "tRNA", at positions 5 to 66 of the family's 71-position model. From Rfam's summary of the family: Transfer RNA (tRNA) molecules are approximately 80 nucleotides in length. Their secondary structure includes four short double-helical elements and three loops (D, anti-codon, and T loops). The record is from Rfam by way of RNAcentral. Lineage: Eukaryota; Metazoa; Chordata; Mammalia; Rodentia; Sciuridae.